GGGCGAAAGCCUGACGGAGCAACGCCGGGUGCGGGAUGACGCGUUUCGGCGUAUAAACCGCUGUUCAUGGGGUCGAAGCACUGACGGUACCCAUGGAGGAAGGCCCGGCUAACUACGUGCCAGCAGCCGCGGUAAUACGUAGGGGUCAUGCGUUGUCCGGAGUUACUGGGCGUAAAGCGCGCGCAGGUGGCUCAUUACGCCCGGCGUGAAAGACCCCGGCUCAACCGGGGAGGGUCGUCGUGUACGGGUGAGCUUGAGGGUAUCAGGGGCUGGUGGAAUUCCCGGUCUAGUGGUGAAAUGCGUAGAGAUCGGGAGGAACACCCGUGGCGAAGGCGGCCAGCU
RNAcentral lists this ribosomal RNA (342 nucleotides) under uncultured Sphaerobacter sp. RNAcentral describes it as "bacterial SSU rRNA". It matches the Rfam family "Bacterial small subunit ribosomal RNA", at positions 373 to 730 of the family's 1533-position model. The record is from RNAcentral. Lineage: Bacteria; Pseudomonadati; Thermomicrobiota; Thermomicrobia; Sphaerobacterales; Sphaerobacteraceae.